CUUUCCUUAUCUUUCUACUUAUCAGUAAAAGAAAAACAAGAGAAAGAAAUGAUAAAAGAGGAAAGAAGAGAAUAGAGAAAGAAGAAGAAGAAUCAUCAUCGCCAACUUCAUCUCAAUUUCUUCAUCAUAUUCCUCGCUAGAGGUUAAAUGCAAGAGAAGUUAUUUGGUGAGCGUUGUUAAAGUCAGAAAAAAGAGGUUUCCCAAUUAUAUGGGAAUGCAGGGUGGCACAUGGUCCGAGCAGUCUUGUAGUGUAAGAGAAGUCGGAAAGUUAAGGAUUUCUAUCAGAUGAAUUUAUCAAAGUUGAAAAGUGUGUGAGUCUGUUAGUAGAAACAAAAUUGAACCAUUGGUAUGGAACAAAUGUUAUAGCUAACUCCGUACAGUAAGGAAGAAAGGAUGGUUUUUGUCGCACAUAUGCCACAAUGCCCAAAAGAUAGGUGGUGUACCAGUCUCUCAGCUAUGAAGUCAAGCUUCUCCAACAAUGUGCUUUUAUGAAAACAAGUAUAUUAUCUUUAGUUCAUGUGCAUUAUCAAAGGAUGAGAAAUAGUUUCAUGUUCAAAGUUUAUGGUAAUAAGAAUUAUGUCUCGAGCAACAAUAUCAAAACAUCCUUGGAGCUUGGAAGAUUGAUCCUUCAUUGACGUACAACUUGAAAUUUGAUCAUAUGUUUACCAUAGUGCUCAAUAACAUGAUUAACAAAUCAUCAUAAUGCAUAAAAUAAGUUUUGAUA
Molecule: long non-coding RNA, 724 nt
Organism: Lathyrus oleraceus (garden pea)
Lineage: Eukaryota; Viridiplantae; Streptophyta; Magnoliopsida; Fabales; Fabaceae
Exons: 2
Source: RefSeq, a predicted model, not a curated record